Molecule: transfer RNA, 68 nt
Filed under: Verrucomicrobiales bacterium
Lineage: Bacteria; Pseudomonadati; Verrucomicrobiota; Verrucomicrobiia; Verrucomicrobiales
Description: tRNA-Ala
Source: RNAcentral
GCGAAUUUACGGAAAUAGUAUUUUCAUUCGCAAUGAAGAGGUCAGGAGUUCGAAUCUCCUAUGCUCCA